This 468-nucleotide ribosomal RNA is filed under the name uncultured bacterium. RNAcentral's name for it is "partial 16S ribosomal RNA". It matches the Rfam family "Bacterial small subunit ribosomal RNA", at positions 28 to 507 of the family's 1533-position model. The record is from RNAcentral.
GACGAACGCUGGCGGCGUGCUUAACACAUGCAAGUCGAACGGAAAGGCCCUGCUUUUGUGGGGUGCUCGAGUGGCGAACGGGUGAGUAACACGUGAGUAACCUGCCCUUGACUUUGGGAUAACUUCAGGAAACUGGGGCUAAUACCGGAUAGGAGCUCCUGCUGCAUGGUGGGGGUUGGAAAGUUUCGGCGGUUGGGGAUGGACUAGCGGCUUAUCAGCUUGUUGGUGGGGUAGUGGCUUACCAAGGCUUUGACGGGUAGCCGGCCUGAGAGGGUGACCGGCCACAGUGGGACUGAGAUACGGCCCAGACUCCUACGGGAGGCAGCAGUGGGGAAUAUUGCACAAUGGGCGGAAGCCUGAUGCAGCAACGCCGCGUGCGGGAUGACGGCCUUCGGGUUGUAAACCGCUUUCGCCUGUGACGAAGCGUGAGUGACGGUAAUGGGUAAAGAAGCACCGGCUAACUACGUG